This 663-nucleotide ribosomal RNA is filed under the name Triticum aestivum (bread wheat). RNAcentral describes it as "partial small subunit ribosomal RNA". The record is from RNAcentral. Lineage: Eukaryota; Viridiplantae; Streptophyta; Magnoliopsida; Poales; Poaceae.
AUGGAGAUUUCGAUCGAGGAUGCCCGUAAAGAGAUUGUAAAGUGCAUCGAGAUGAGCAAAGAUGGCAUACAUGCUAUGCUUAUGGUGUUCUCAGCCACAUCACGGUUUUCUUGUGAAGAGAAGAAGACAGUUGAGUCGAUUAAACGGUUUUUUGGUGACAAAAUCCUCAACCACAUUAUAUUAGUUUUCACGCAUGGAGAUGCGGUGGGGGAUGAAGACAUGAUAAAGCUAUGCCAAAAUAGGGGUGUUCUCUUUGACAACAUGACCAGUAAUAUUGAGCGUCAUGAGAUGCAACGUGGGAAAUUGCUUGGUGCAGUUGACUUUGUUAUAUCAAGUAAUGGUGGCACAGCAUUUCCCUACAAGAUGCUCCCUAACAUUCAGGUUGAUGAAAACCUGAACAGUACAGAAGAGGAGAUCAAGAGGCUCAAGGAGAGGCUGGAGAAAUCUCAGAAAGAGCAGAAUCUGAGAAGGCUAGAGGAGGAGAAGAUGAAAGAGCAGAAAGAGGAGAUCAACAAUCUCAGGGAGGAACUUGAGAAGGCAAGGCAAGAAGACUUGUUGCGCAAGGAGAAGGAGAUCCAGAGGCUCAUGGAGAGCCUGGACCUGGCGAACAAGGAGAAGGACAACUACAGAACAAUGUAUGAGAACAAGUGCAUCGUUAUGUGA